AGUGAACGCUGGCGGCAUGGCUAAGACAUGCAAGUCGAACGGGAUCUACUGAAGGGUAACCGGAUGUAGUGAGAGUGGCGAACGGGUGCGUAACACGUGAACAAUCUACCUUAAAGUUGGGGAUAGCUCGAGGAAACUCGAAUUAAUACCGAAUGUGGUUCCUUCUCGCAUGGGAAGGAUACUAAAGCUUGUAACGGCGCUUUAAGAGGGGUUCGCGGCCUAUCAGCUUGUUGGUGAGGUAACGGCUCACCAAGGCUUCGACGGGUAGCCGGCCUGAGAGGGCGACCGGCCACACUGGGACUGAGAUACGGCCCAGACUCCUACGGGAGGCAGCAGUGGGAAUAUUGCGCAAUGGGCGAAAGCCUGACGCAGCAACGCCGCGUGCGGGAUGACGGCCUCGGUGUAACG
RNAcentral lists this ribosomal RNA (408 nucleotides) under uncultured bacterium. Its description in RNAcentral is "bacterial SSU rRNA". It matches the Rfam family "Bacterial small subunit ribosomal RNA", at positions 29 to 430 of the family's 1533-position model. The record is from RNAcentral.